CCUACGGGUGGCAGCAGUCGAGAAUCAUUCACAAUGGGGGAAACCCUGAUGGGGCGACGCCGCGUGGGGGAAUGAAGGUCUGCGGAUUGUAAACCCCUGUCAUGGGGGAGCAAAUUAAAAAGAUAGAACCACAAGAGGAAGAGACGGCUAACUCUGUGCCAGCAGCCGCGGUAAUACAGAGGGCUCAAGCGUUGUUCGGAACCACUGGGCGUAAAGCGUGCGUAGGCUGUUUCGUAAGUCGUGUGUGAAAGGCGCGGGCUCCACCCGCGGACGGCACUUGAUACUGCGAGACUAGAGUAAUGGAGGGGGAACCGGCCUUCUCGGUGUCGCCGU
This 333-nucleotide ribosomal RNA is filed under the name uncultured bacterium. RNAcentral's name for it is "partial 16S ribosomal RNA". It matches the Rfam family "Bacterial small subunit ribosomal RNA", at positions 338 to 682 of the family's 1533-position model. The record is from RNAcentral.